UCGACCUUGAUAGAGAGUAGUCCUAUAAGGUUUGAGAAGCUGAGUCCACAAAACUAUGACCAUAGUAGUAUGAUUGAUGAAAAAAAAAUUCAUUUAGAAUCACUAUUAGACUUGAGCUGAUCGGAUCUAUCAUAUAAUUAAUGAUGAAGUUUGACGAUUUAUCCAUCAUCUGCCAUCUAGUCGGGACUCAUGAUAGAGGGACUUUAUCAUACAUUAACUAUAUCUAGAGGUUCUAUUUUGGUUAUGCUGGAUUGCUACAACAUAUUGCUAGAGAUCACUAAUGAAUUGUG
RNAcentral lists this long non-coding RNA (290 nucleotides) under Elaeis guineensis (African oil palm). RNAcentral describes it as "long non-coding RNA (EGUI_LNC067350)". The record is from RNAcentral. Lineage: Eukaryota; Viridiplantae; Streptophyta; Magnoliopsida; Arecales; Arecaceae.